Leptinotarsa decemlineata (Colorado potato beetle) is the source of this 298-nucleotide long non-coding RNA. The record is from RefSeq and is a predicted model, not a curated record. NCBI's taxonomy places the organism in Eukaryota, Metazoa, Arthropoda, Insecta, Coleoptera, Chrysomelidae.
GCGGGAGAUUUACAAGAAAAUAUUUACUAAUUUCAAUCAGUUAGCAACUGAGUGAGCAACAAGUUACGACAAUUGAAGAAAAUGAAGUACUGUUUCGAAAAUUACCUGCUUUUUUUCUGCACUCUGAUUGUUUUAGAGCAAAUCGUUAUUUCCAAUGGCCUUUCUGUGGAAUCUACACAUACCUUGAAAACUAGAAGGCAAGCCGAUAAGCAGAAUGGGGAAUGUAAACGACCAAAUCAACCUGUAAAUGGAAAUUAUAUCAAUUUACUGAACACAACAACUGACUCAGAUACUUUUC